AUCAGGUAGGAAACAACGUCGUUUUAGAGAGGGAAAAAACGACGUCGUUUUGAAAGAAAAAAAAAACGACGUCGUUUUGGGAUGAAGGAAAACGACGUCGUUUUGGGGUAGGCUGGCAGAGUAUAAAGGGAGGUCGGGAAAGGGAGAAGAGAAAAGGAGGGAAGGAGGGCAGCGGAGACGAAGAAGAAGAGGAAAGUUCCAGAAGGAGAGAGGAGAGAGUCGGGGCGGAGGGGAGCGAGAAGGGAGAGGGAAGGAGGCCGUGGAC
Molecule: long non-coding RNA, 265 nt
Filed under: Carica papaya (papaya)
Lineage: Eukaryota; Viridiplantae; Streptophyta; Magnoliopsida; Brassicales; Caricaceae
Description: long non-coding RNA (CPAP_LNC014746)
Source: RNAcentral